UACGGGGGAUGCGAGCGUUAUCCGGAUUUAUUGGGUUUAAAGGGUGCGUAGGCGGAUCGUUAAGUCAGUGGUCAAAUUGAGGGGCUCAACCCCUUCCCGCCAUUGAAACUGGCGAUCUUGAGUGGAAGAGAAGUAUGCGGAACGCGUGGUGUAGCGGUGAAAUGCAUAGAUAUCACGCAGAACCCCGAUUGCGAAGGCAGCAUGCCGGCUUCCUACUGACGCUGAAGCACGAAAGCGUGGGGAUCGAACAGG
RNAcentral lists this ribosomal RNA (252 nucleotides) under uncultured bacterium. RNAcentral describes it as "partial 16S ribosomal RNA". It matches the Rfam family "Bacterial small subunit ribosomal RNA", at positions 524 to 776 of the family's 1533-position model. The record is from RNAcentral.